CCCCUCUCAGGAUCGAAUCUGGAGAGUUUCCAGCACUCUAACAGGCUCAACUACGGGAGGGAGAAUCAAGUAGAGUCAUGCCCAUUCCAUUUCUAGCUUGGACAAAAGCUAGUGAGUGGAAGGCAAUCUACUACAAGU
Ornithorhynchus anatinus (platypus) is the source of this 138-nucleotide small nucleolar RNA. NCBI's taxonomy places the organism in Eukaryota, Metazoa, Chordata, Mammalia, Monotremata, Ornithorhynchidae. The record is from RefSeq and is a predicted model, not a curated record.